CACACCCAACAUGUCUCUAUCGAGAUGAUAUCACGCCACACUUUCUGUUGCUCGGCCGCCGUGAGGAAGGCCACUAGGAGAGGACAGCCGGCAGUUGGGGGAGAGGAGAAAGGAGAGAGAAAGAGGGAGGAGAGUACAAGAAGGAAGAGAGAGAGGGAGAGUAUAAGAGAGAGGGCGUCUAGUUUAGCUCGCCGCGGCGGCGGCGGGAAACAGACGUCCAGCAGUGCGAGGAAGGCCACUGGGAGAGAGUAGACGGUAGUGUGGAGCGAGAGGAGAAAGGAGAUAGAAAGAGGGAGGAGAGGAAGGAACAGAGAGAGGGAGAGUAGAAAAGAGAAGUCGUCUAGCCUAGCUCGCAGCGGCAGCAGAGGGAAAACAGCCGUCUAGAAACGGCGGCGAUCUCUCCCGUCACUUCUCCUCCUUCUCCGCCGUGCCACCUCUCGUCCCGUCUUCCCCUCCUCCGCCGCCGCGGCACCUCUCCCUCCCCUCGCCCCGCCGAUCCCAACCUCCCCUCCCCUAACCCACACGCACACCGCCCCCUCUGCUACCGAGCCCGCCUCCCCCCUCUACGUCCGGCCGAGCGAGCGAGCUUGAUAAAGCGAGCACACCACGCC
Molecule: ribosomal RNA, 611 nt
Filed under: Triticum aestivum (bread wheat)
Lineage: Eukaryota; Viridiplantae; Streptophyta; Magnoliopsida; Poales; Poaceae
Description: partial small subunit ribosomal RNA
Source: RNAcentral